Molecule: ribosomal RNA, 963 nt
Filed under: Acinetobacter baumannii 1593273
Lineage: Bacteria; Pseudomonadati; Pseudomonadota; Gammaproteobacteria; Moraxellales; Moraxellaceae
Description: bacterial SSU rRNA
Rfam family: Bacterial small subunit ribosomal RNA
Source: RNAcentral
AGAGUUUGAUCAUGGCUCAGAUUGAACGCUGGCGGCAGGCUUAACACAUGCAAGUCGAGCGGGGGAAGGUAGCUUGCUACUGGACCUAGCGGCGGACGGGUGAGUAAUGCUUAGGAAUCUGCCUAUUAGUGGGGGACAACAUCUCGAAAGGGAUGCUAAUACCGCAUACGUCCUACGGGAGAAAGCAGGGGAUCUUCGGACCUUGCGCUAAUAGAUGAGCCUAAGUCGGAUUAGCUAGUUGGUGGGGUAAAGGCCUACCAAGGCGACGAUCUGUAGCGGGUCUGAGAGGAUGAUCCGCCACACUGGGACUUAGACACGGCCCAGACUCCUACGGGAGGCAGCAGUGGGGAAUAUUGGACAAUGGGGGGAACCCUGAUCCAGCUAUGCCGCGUGUGUGAAGAAGGCCUUAUGGUUGUAAAGCACUUUAAGCGAGGAGGAGGCUACUUUAGUUAAUACCUAGAGAUAGUGGACGUUACUCGCAGAAUAAGCACCGGCUAACUCUGUGCCAGCAGCCGCGGUAAUACAGAGGGUGCGAGCGUUAAUCGGAUUUACUGGGCGUAAAGCGUGCGUAGGCGGCUUAUUAAGUCGGAUGUGAAAUCCCCGAGCUUAACUUGGGAAUUGCAUUCGAUACUGGUGAGCUAGAGUAUGGGAGAGGAUGGUAGAAUUCCAGGUGUAGCGGUGAAAUGCGUAGAGAUCUGGAGGAAUACCGAUGGCGAAGGCAGCCAUCUGGCCUAAUACUGACGCUGAGGUACGAAAGCAUGGGGAGCAAACAGGAUUAGAUACCCUGGUAGUCCAUGCCGUAAACGAUGUCUACUAGCCGUUGGGGCCUUUGAGGCUUUAGUGGCGCAGCUAACGCGAUAAGUAUACCGCCUGGGGAGUACGGUCGCAAGACUAAAACUCAAAUGAAUUGACGGGGGCCCGCACAAGCGGUGGAGCAUGUGGUUUAAUUCGAUGCAAUUCCCA